This is a small nucleolar RNA of Meriones unguiculatus (Mongolian gerbil), 129 nucleotides long. NCBI's taxonomy places the organism in Eukaryota, Metazoa, Chordata, Mammalia, Rodentia, Muridae. The record is from Ensembl.
ACUGCCUCUAGAUGUCUUACAUGUAUUCUGCUGUGUUGCAUGUGUGUCAGUCGGUGGCAAAGAGGAGAGAGGCUGUCUAUGGUCAGUGUUCUGACCUGUAAACAUUUGAAUGAUUAGUAGCCUAAAUUU